Molecule: long non-coding RNA, 619 nt
Organism: Vigna unguiculata (cowpea)
Lineage: Eukaryota; Viridiplantae; Streptophyta; Magnoliopsida; Fabales; Fabaceae
Source: RefSeq, a predicted model, not a curated record
UAUAAAUAUAUGCAGUGCAAUAUGAGGAACCAACGAUGGUUUGUAUAUAUCAAGUGUAGAUUCAUGAAUGGCUUUGGUAAGAACAGAAGCAUUACACUAUCUUAUUUCGAAUGCAUCAAAAAUCAACGGACGAUGUUGUUAAUCAAAAACACUAUGUCAUCUUUCACAGCAGAGACAUUACAAUUCAUAAGAUUGCAGAGGUAAGAAGUUUUUAUGAAUGCUCCUUUUCGGCUUCUGCUGCAUAAUGCAGAGCAGAAGUCAUGGCUGGAUUCAUAAGGAUACACCAAAAACGUUAAUUGGCAGCAUCAUCGGUGUAUUCCUUAAUUACACUGUCUCAGAUCAAACACAUGCAUUGGUAGUGACAGUCACCGAAUUCCAAUGCAGACUGCAUUAUUUGAAACGACAAAAAACUUGACGAAAAGUUCGGCCAAUGUAGUUCACUUACUUCUAGAUGCUUUAAUUGUUAGCUUUAUAUUUUCCGAAAAUUUCUCUGUUUUUUCUCAACAAACUUCGUUCGUUGAGCCACCUAUGUUAUAACAGUGAUAUCGCAAUUUACCAUAUACCAUAGUCUCGUGUUUUGUAACUUAUGAAAGUUUUCGUGAGUAAAGUAAAUGCAUGU